Molecule: non-coding RNA, 265 nt
Organism: Pelobates cultripes (western spadefoot toad)
Lineage: Eukaryota; Metazoa; Chordata; Amphibia; Anura; Pelobatidae
Source: the annotation of a GenBank genome assembly
UGUGCCAAUUAAUAACCUGUUAGGCAACCUGAGCUGGACAUACCUUACCAAUAGCCUAAGGCAGACAGGCUUUAUGAUCUAUUCUAAACCAUGUGCUUGUUACCUUCUUUUCUGAAUAUCCUUUAUGUUCCUUAACCUCUUCAUAACCAAGUUAUAUUAAACUAGUUUUGCGUAUCUCACUACCAAGGAUAAUAAGGACUAUUUCAUGGUUUCCUAUUUAUAUGGGAUUGGGUAAUGGCCAUGUAAUUGGGUAGGUAUAGAUCAG